This 30-nucleotide non-coding RNA is filed under the name Mus musculus (house mouse). The record is from RNAcentral. Lineage: Eukaryota; Metazoa; Chordata; Mammalia; Rodentia; Muridae.
UCCACCGUUCUUCCCAGCUGCAGAAGCCAC